GCCUCUGUGGCGCAUUUGGAUAGCGCGUUCGGCUGUUAACCGAAAGGUUGGUGGUUCAAGCCCACCCAGGGACG
This 74-nucleotide transfer RNA is filed under the name Callorhinchus milii (elephant shark). RNAcentral describes it as "tRNA-Asn (GTT) (tRNA-Asn-GTT-17-1)". It matches the Rfam family "tRNA". Rfam says of the family: Transfer RNA (tRNA) molecules are approximately 80 nucleotides in length. Their secondary structure includes four short double-helical elements and three loops (D, anti-codon, and T loops). The record is from Rfam by way of RNAcentral. Lineage: Eukaryota; Metazoa; Chordata; Chondrichthyes; Chimaeriformes; Callorhinchidae.